RNAcentral lists this ribosomal RNA (253 nucleotides) under uncultured bacterium. RNAcentral's name for it is "partial 16S ribosomal RNA". It matches the Rfam family "Bacterial small subunit ribosomal RNA", at positions 524 to 776 of the family's 1533-position model. The record is from RNAcentral.
UACGGAGGAUGCAAGCGUUAUCCGGAAUGAUUGGGCGUAAAGCGUCCGCAGGUGGCUAUGUAAGUCUGCUGUUAAAGAGCAAGGCUCAACCUUGUAAAGGCAGUGGAAACUACGUAGCUAGAGUGCGUUCGGGGCAGAGGGAAUUCCUGGUGUAGCGGUGAAAUGCGUAGAUAUCAGGAAGAACACCAGUGGCGAAAGCGCUCUGCUAGGCCGCAACUGACACUGAGGGACGAAAGCUAGGGGAGCGAAUGGG